CCCAGACAGCUUGACAAAUUUCAGUUAUCUUGGCAAAUUUGAUCAUUUACCAAAACAAAAGAAGGAAGAAAUGAAUCUCUAUGCUAAUAUAUGUGUCCUUCUGGCUGUUAUCCUUUUUAUCCCAACAUUGACGAGGGGUAGGGAGCUAGCAGAAAAGCUACGAACAGAAGAGAAGGGUUCCGCGAUAGAUCUAUCAGACGACGAUUAUCCUCGUUGUCAUUAUUGUGGAGACUACGACUACUACUGCGAUCGCCGCCGCUGCAGACCUCCAACACCAGCACGGACUCCCCCAGCCCCACCACCAGCCCCAGUACCGAGUCCCCCACCCCCAGCACCCGUACUGAGUCCCCCACCCCCGGCCCAACCGAUAAAGCCGCCAUGCCAUAUUACACCCCCAGCACCCGUACUGAGUCCCCCACCCCACUUCCGACCGAUACAUCCAUGCCAUAUGUAUGGUACUGAAUUUCGCUGCUCACCCCACUCACCCCCACAUGGGUGGCACCCCACUCCAACACAGACAUGACCAAGGCUAGCUGAACCCUAGCCUGCUGUGCUGCCAGUGAUCUUUGAUCUGCAGAACUAAUGGCAUGUGGCUUUGAUUUUAUCCAAUAAUCAAGUAGUUGUGUUACUAUGGCUACUGUUACUCCUACUGUAAUGAACUGAAGAUAUAUCAUUAAUCCAGAAUGAACCACUGGUUUAAUUAGCUAUUGCUUCAUGAAUAUGUAGAAUACUUUUCGAGUUA
Molecule: long non-coding RNA, 742 nt
Organism: Macadamia integrifolia
Lineage: Eukaryota; Viridiplantae; Streptophyta; Magnoliopsida; Proteales; Proteaceae
Exons: 2
Source: RefSeq, a predicted model, not a curated record